Molecule: ribosomal RNA, 429 nt
Filed under: Pseudomonadota bacterium
Lineage: Bacteria; Pseudomonadati; Pseudomonadota
Description: Proteobacteria bacterium partial 16S ribosomal RNA
Rfam family: Bacterial small subunit ribosomal RNA
Source: RNAcentral
UGGGGAAUAUUGGACAAUGGGCGAAAGCCUGAUCCAGCCAUGCCGCGUGUGUGAAGAAGGUCUUCGGAUUGUAAAGCACUUUAAGUUGGGAGGAAGGGCAGUAAGCGAAUACCUUGCUGUUUUGACGUUACCGACAGAAUAAGCACCGGCUAACUCUGUGCCAGCAGCCGCGGUAAUACAGAGGGUGCAAGCGUUAAUCGGAAUUACUGGGCGUAAAGCGCGCGUAGGUGGUUCGUUAAGUUGAAUGUGAAAGCCCCGGGCUCAACCUGGGAACUGCAUCCAAAACUGGUUAGCUAGAGUGUGGGGGAGGAUGGUAGAAUUCCAGGUGUAGCGGUGAAAUGCGUAGAGAUCUGGAGGAAUACCGAUGGCGAAGGCAGCCAUCUGGCCUAACACUGACGCUGAGGUAAGAAAGCAUGGGGAGCAAACAGG